RNAcentral lists this ribosomal RNA (375 nucleotides) under uncultured organism. RNAcentral's name for it is "bacterial SSU rRNA". It matches the Rfam family "Bacterial small subunit ribosomal RNA", at positions 526 to 897 of the family's 1533-position model. The record is from RNAcentral.
CGUAGGGCGCAAGCGUUAUCCGGAAUUAUUGGGCGUAAAGAGCUCGUAGGCGGUUUGUCGCGUCUGCCGUGAAAGUCCGGGGCUCAACUCCGGAUCUGCGGUGGGUACGGGCAGACUAGAGUGAUGUAGGGGAGACUGGAAGUUCCUGGUGUAGCGGUGAAAUGCGCAGAUAUCAGGAGGAACACCGAUGGCGAAGGCAGGUCUCUGGGCAUUAACUGACGCUGAGGAGCGAAAGCAUGGGGAGCGAACAGGAUUAGAUACCCUGGUAGUCCAUGCCGUAAACGUUGGGCACUAGGUGUGGGGGACAUUCCACGUUUUCCGCGCCGUAGCUAACGCAUUAAGUGCCCCGCCUGGGGAGUACGGCCGCAAGGCUAA